Molecule: ribosomal RNA, 497 nt
Filed under: uncultured bacterium
Lineage: Bacteria
Description: partial 16S ribosomal RNA
Rfam family: Bacterial small subunit ribosomal RNA
Source: RNAcentral
GAUGAACGCUGGCGGCGUGCCUAAUACAUGCAAGUCGAGCGAACGGACGAGAAGCUUGCUUCUCUGAUGUUAGCGGCGGACGGGUGAGUAACACGUGGAUAACCUACCUAUAAUACUGGGAUAACUUCGGGAAACCGUAGCUAAUACCGGAUAAUAUUUUGAACCGCAUGGUUCAAAAGUGAAAGACGGUCUUGCUGUCACUUAUAGAUGGAUCCGCGCUGCAUUAGCUAGUUGGUAAGGUAACGGCUUACCAAGGCAACGAUGCAUAGCCGACCUGAGAGGAUGAUCGGCCACACUGGAACUGAGACACGGUCCAGACUCCUACGGGAGGCAGCAGUAGGGAAUCUUCCGCAAAGGGCGAAAGCCUGACGGAGCAACGCCGCGUGAGUGAUGAAGGUCUUCGGAUCGUAAAGCUCUGUUAUUAGGGAAGAACAUAUGUGUAAGUAACUGUGCACAUCUUGACGGUACCUAAUCGGAAAGCCACGGCUAACUACGUG